This 470-nucleotide ribosomal RNA is filed under the name uncultured Gordonia sp. RNAcentral's name for it is "bacterial SSU rRNA". It matches the Rfam family "Bacterial small subunit ribosomal RNA", at positions 226 to 708 of the family's 1533-position model. The record is from RNAcentral. Lineage: Bacteria; Bacillati; Actinomycetota; Actinomycetes; Mycobacteriales; Gordoniaceae.
UGGGCCCGCGGCCUAUCAGCUUGUUGGUGGGGUAAUGGCCUACCAAGGCGACGACGGGUAGCCGACCUGAGAGGGUGAUCGGCCACACUGGGACUGAGACACGGCCCCUACUCCUACGGGAGGCAGCAGUGGGGAAUAUUGCACAAUGGGCGCAAGCCUGAUGCAGCGACGCCGCGUGAGGGAUGACGGCCUUCGGGUUGUAAACCUCUUUCACCAGGGACGAAGCGGAAGUGACGGUACCUGGAGAAGAAGCACCUGCCAACUACGUGCCAGCAGCCGCGGUAAUACGUAGGGUGCGAGCGUUGUCCGGAAUUACUGGGCGUAAAGAGCUCGUAGGCGGUUUGUCGCGUCGUCUGUGAAAUUCUGCAACUCAAUUGCAGGCGUGCAGGCGAUACGGGCAGACUUGAGUACUACAGGGGAGACUGGAAUUCCUGGUGUAGCGGUGAAAUGCGCAGAUAUCAGGAGGAACA